Ornithorhynchus anatinus (platypus) is the source of this 105-nucleotide non-coding RNA. RefSeq annotates it as microRNA mir-155. Lineage: Eukaryota; Metazoa; Chordata; Mammalia; Monotremata; Ornithorhynchidae. The record is from RefSeq and is marked provisional. The transcript has a single exon.
GGGACGCCGUGGGCCGCAGGUCGUUAAUGCUAAUCGUGAUAGGGGUUUUCUCUGUCUGACUGACCCCUGCCCGUUAGCAUUAGCAACGUGCGGCCCCUCGAACCC